Molecule: regulatory RNA element, 37 nt
Organism: Mesorhizobium sp.
Lineage: Bacteria; Pseudomonadati; Pseudomonadota; Alphaproteobacteria; Hyphomicrobiales; Phyllobacteriaceae
Rfam family: L31-Coriobacteria ribosomal protein leader
Source: Rfam
GGUCUCGCCGGAAGCGAGACCGCCGAACAUGAAGGAG